Molecule: ribosomal RNA, 253 nt
Filed under: uncultured bacterium
Lineage: Bacteria
Description: partial 16S ribosomal RNA
Rfam family: Bacterial small subunit ribosomal RNA
Source: RNAcentral
GACGUAGGGCGCGAGCGUUAAUCGGAAUUACUGGGCGUAAAGCGUGCGCAGGCGGUGAUGUAAGACAGGUGUGAAAUCCCCGGGCUUAACCUGGGAACUGCAUUUGUGACUGCAUCGCUGGAGUGCGGCAGAGGGGGAUGGAAUUCCGCGUGUAGCAGUGAAAUGCGUAGAUAUGCGGAGGAACACCGAUGGCGAAGGCAAUCCCCUGGGCCUGCACUGACGCUCAUGCACGAAAGCGUGGGGAGCAAACAGG